UACGGAGGAUGCGAGCGUUAUCCGGAUUUAUUGGGUUUAAAGGGAGCGCAGACGGGUUUUUAAGUCAGCUGUGAAAGUUUGGGGCUCAACCUUAAAAUUGCAGUUGAUACUGGAGACCUUGAGUGCAGUUGAGGCAGGCGGAAUUCGUGGUGUAGCGGUGAAAUGCUUAGAUAUCACGAAGAAUUCCGAUUGCGAAGGCGGCUUGCUAAAGUGUAACUGACGUUCAUGCGCGAAAGGGUGGGGAUCAAACA
RNAcentral lists this ribosomal RNA (251 nucleotides) under uncultured Bacteroides sp. RNAcentral describes it as "partial 16S ribosomal RNA". It matches the Rfam family "Bacterial small subunit ribosomal RNA", at positions 524 to 774 of the family's 1533-position model. The record is from RNAcentral. Lineage: Bacteria; Pseudomonadati; Bacteroidota; Bacteroidia; Bacteroidales; Bacteroidaceae.